RNAcentral lists this ribosomal RNA (1158 nucleotides) under Luckia striki. RNAcentral's name for it is "partial large subunit ribosomal RNA". It matches the Rfam family "Eukaryotic large subunit ribosomal RNA", at positions 386 to 917 of the family's 3401-position model. Lineage: Eukaryota; Metazoa; Arthropoda; Malacostraca; Amphipoda; Pontogeneiidae. The record is from RNAcentral.
GUUCAGAGUAUAAGCCAAUGGUAAAUUGGAAGAUCGGGACAGCCGUGGUUACCCUUGUUCUCGAUUGUGAGAGGCAGGGCGCCGGCAUCGUGUGUGGUGAGAACCAAAGUUGGUCUGGUCCCAACAAACAGUGGCAAUUGAGUUGAUAGCACACCUGAAAUGGAAACAUGCGGGUCUCUGACAGUGGUAACAGGGUAAGCUUGUGGGGAGCAAGCCCGAGGCUGGACUUGAGCAUGGGCGAUACUGAUGGUCACACAAACGAGUUGUCUAAAUACGAUCCACCACAACUCUUUACGAGGUCACCCAUACGUCAUGAACGCUAUUCCCGUAACGUGCGCGUAUUGUUUUUCUACGUUUAAGGUACGUGUGUGAGUUUUCUCUCGCACGCGCGCUGUAGAGAGGCCGGCCGUUACAUGUUCAUGGUUUCCCAAUCGUGUGUGUUGUACGAUCCUCAGUGAAGGUUGAAUUCUGACCAUCCUAUCCUUGUGAAUGGUUGUUUCAAAGAGACGACUCUAGUAACGCUUUCCCGGAGCGCCACACGUUCCUGUAUGGAUGGGGCUUGGCUAUUACAACGUGAACUUUUCCUUCGCUGCCAGUCUGUCGAAGAUGUCACGGGCCUUGAUUCCCUGUACAUGUGUCCCCCUGCGUGGUGUGAAAGGUUGGCCGUGCGGUCAAGGAGGGAUGAAUUGGUGACUUAUUCCGGAGCCAUUGGUCACGUCUCGAAACACGGGCCAAGGAGCAUAGCAUGUGCGCGAGUCUAAGGGUCUAACAAAACCUGGAGGCAAAGUGAAAGCGAAUGGUGUGUUUGUUGAUAGUGUCGUAAGGCAUUGUUGGCAGGCAGUCUGGUGUUGUGCGUAAUUCCUACGUCUAUAUGGCGCGGACGAAUGCGCCUCCCGGCUUAUACCGAGCUGAUCCCGUUGCCAUACAGACUAUUGUCUAUGCGCGGGCGCAAGCUCCAGGCUCUCAGAUACGAAAGGUUUCUCGCGGUGUAUGUCCCUCGUGGGUGUGCAUUGUGUUUCUCUUUUCAUGGGAGCACUGUGUAGCGUGCAUGCUAUAACCCGAAAGAUAGUGAACUAUGCCUGGCGAGGGUGAAGCCCCAGGAAACUGGGGUGGAGGCCCGUAGCCGUUGUGACGUGCAAAUCCAUGGUGUCAGUGGCA